CCUGCACGUCAUUAGUGCGGGCUCCCACAUGAUGAGAGCAGGGCUUACCUGUCCCUCCCCUCUCCCCACUUGGAGGCAACGCCCCCUUUUCCACACUGACCCAUAGCAACGCAGGCUCCUUUACAGACCCCUCCCACCUUACUCCUCCCCCUCUCCUAUUUAAAAGCCAAGCAGCCCCACAAUGUCAGACAUUGCUGGAUGGCUGCAGCAGCUGUACACACUCUACACUGCUUGUGUUUUCUUCCCAUCUUCCGAUCCCUCUACUGACCUCUCUGGCCACUUUUUGUCAUUACAGGUAAAAAUAUAUAUAUAUACAAUCAAUAAACUUUUACGCUGUGACACUUCGGGCCAAAGGUCUUGCUACGCUGUGAUUGAUAUUAGAUGCCAGUCCUCACUCCUCUCCUUACCAUCUGAGGCUUGCCAUGCGUCCCGAUUGCGAUGUCCUUUUAAGGGGUGUGCUGAGCCGUUGAAACUUCUCGGGUGAAAAGUUGUCUGUUACACUUUCUGACUCCACACAUACUUC
Long non-coding RNA from Rana temporaria (common frog), 523 nucleotides. RefSeq lists it as uncharacterized. Lineage: Eukaryota; Metazoa; Chordata; Amphibia; Anura; Ranidae. The record is from RefSeq and is a predicted model, not a curated record. The transcript has 4 exons.